UCCUACGGGGCGCAGCAGUAGGGAAUCUUCCACAAUGGACGAGAGUCUGAUGGAGCAACGCCGCGUGAGUGAAGAAGGGUUUCGGCUCGUAAAGCUCUGUUGGUAGUGAAGAAAGAUAGAGGUAGUAACUGGCCUUUAUUUGACGGUAAUUACUUAGAAAGUCACGGCUAACUACGUGCCAGCAGCCGCGGUAAUACGUAGGUGGCAAGCGUUGUCCGGAUUUAUUGGGCGUAAAGCGAGGGCAGGCGGGUCCAAUAAGCUGG
RNAcentral lists this ribosomal RNA (263 nucleotides) under uncultured bacterium. Its description in RNAcentral is "partial 16S ribosomal RNA". It matches the Rfam family "Bacterial small subunit ribosomal RNA", at positions 337 to 591 of the family's 1533-position model. The record is from RNAcentral.